AUGCUUUCCUCCUAUAAAAAGUCUGUUAAAAAGUGCAGACUGCUCUACACCGGACGCUGUACAAGCAUACAAAUAACCACGGUCCCCGCGCCAGCAGAUCGAACAGCUCAGCACAGAUCCAGCCCCGGGGGCUCAUCGUGGGCAGGGAGCACAGCCUUCAAGCCCCAACACCAUCCUGGGCUGACAGCUGCCCUCCUCCCCCCCAGCCACCGCCAAGCCAUCCACGGAGCAACUCUCCAAAUGAUUUUUCUGGAAAACCAAUUAAAGGAGAAGUUACAUCACACAGCAGCCAGCCCAAGCGGCGCUGCGUUGCGCUGAUGAACCCUGCCUGUAUUCUGGGCUCUGCACCACAUUGCUCGCAGCUGCUGCUGCUGCUGCUGCCGUGCUGGAAUUUGCAGCUCGCUAUCUAAAUAUACUGCAACCAAAAACUGAUCAAAGCGGCUAAAUAUUAUUGUCUGCGCUCGGAUGGGCGGCACGGAGCAUGGUCUCCCAGAAAACCUCCGGUUGCUUCGUUUUUUCCCCUGUGCAAAACCACAGACAAACAAAAUCAGGAGGGGGUGGGGGGUGGAAAGAAGCAGAGAAGGAGACUUUCAGUGGGUGUGAAGUCAGCACAGCCCAGGGCUUGGAAGUCAGGAAAUUCCAGUCCCUGCAGCCUGUGGCUCGGGGCACAUGGCAGGGGACAGGACAUGCUGCCUUAUGGGGGACCUUUGGGGCUUGUGUUCCCCUCUGGGUGCUGCCACAUACUACCCUUGUACCUUUAGGUCGUCAUAAAAUGGUGGAAUCAUAGAAUGGUUUGGGUUGGAAGGGACCUGAGAAAUCAUUGAGCUCUGACCCCCUGCUGUGGGCUGGUUGCCACUCACCAGGUCCGGCUGCCCAGGGGCCCAUCCAGCCUGGCCUUGACCACCUCCAGGAAUGGGGCAUCCGCUGUUUCUCUGGGCAACCUAUCAUCACCCAUCAUCACCCAACAAGUGAGGCCACCCCUCAGUAUCCAGGCUGAGCUUCUUUAGGAAGCACAGAGCCUCCCAGACCCUUCCUCUGUGUAGAUGGCAAUAAAUAAAACGAGCCAGGGUGAGUUCA
Molecule: long non-coding RNA, 1077 nt
Filed under: Numida meleagris (helmeted guineafowl)
Lineage: Eukaryota; Metazoa; Chordata; Aves; Galliformes; Numididae
Description: lncRNA (ENSNMEG00000005522.1)
Source: RNAcentral